RNAcentral lists this ribosomal RNA (428 nucleotides) under uncultured bacterium. RNAcentral describes it as "partial 16S ribosomal RNA". It matches the Rfam family "Bacterial small subunit ribosomal RNA", at positions 354 to 796 of the family's 1533-position model. The record is from RNAcentral.
GUGGGGAAUAUUGGGCAAUGGGCGAAAGCCUGACCCAGCAACGCCGCGUGAGGGAAGAAGGCCUUCGGGUUGUAAACCUCUGUCCUUGGUGACGAAGAAAGUGACGGUAGCCAAGGAGGAAGCCCCGGCUAACUACGUGCCAGCAGCCGCGGUAAUACGUAGGGGGCGAGCGUUGUCCGGAAUUACUGGGCGUAAAGGGUGCGUAGGUGGCCUUUUAAGUUGGAUGUGAAAUACCCGGGCUUAACUUGGGGGGUGCAUCUAAUACUGGGAGGCUAGAGUGCAGGAGAGGGAAGCGGAAUUCCUAGUGUAGCGGUGAAAUGCGUAGAUAUUAGGAAGAACACCGGUGGCGAAGGCGGCUUACUGGACAGAGACUGACGCUGAGGCGCGAAAGCGUGGGGAGCGAACAGGAUUAGAUACCCGAGUAGUCC